CCUACGGGAGGCAGCAGUAGGGAAUCUUGCGCAAUGGGCGAAAGCCUGACGCAGCCAUGCCGCGUGAAUGAUGAAGGUCUUAGGAUUGUAAAAUUCUUUCACCGGGGACGAUAAUGACGGUACCCGGAGAAGAAGCCCCGGCUAACUUCGUGCCAGCAGCCGCGGUAAUACGAAGGGGGCUAGCGUUGCUCGGAAUUACUGGGCGUAAAGGGCGCGUAGGCGGAUAGUUUAGUCAGAGGUAAAAGCCCAGGGCUCAACCUUGGAACUGCCUUUGAUACUGGCUAUCUUGAGUACGGGAGAGGUGUGUGGAACUCCGAGUGUAGAGGUGAAAUUCGUAGAUAUUCGGAAGAACACCAGUGGCGAAGGCGACACACUGGCCCGUUACUGACGCUGAGGCGCGAAAGCGUGGGGAGCAAACAGGAUUAGAUACCCUGGUAGUCCACGCCGUAAACGAUGAGUGCUAGUUGUCGGCAUGCAUGCAUGUCGGUGACGCAGCUAACGCAUUAAGCACUCCGCCUGGGGAGUACGGUCGCAAGAUUAAAACUUAAAUGAAUUGACGGCUGAGAGUGCGAGCGACACGAGGAGAGG
This 588-nucleotide ribosomal RNA is filed under the name uncultured bacterium. Its description in RNAcentral is "bacterial SSU rRNA". It matches the Rfam family "Bacterial small subunit ribosomal RNA", at positions 338 to 944 of the family's 1533-position model. The record is from RNAcentral.